GUUUGCGUAGCUUAAAUACAAAGCAUGGCACUGAAGAUGCUAAGAUGGAACUUAUUAUAUUCCGCAGACA
RNAcentral lists this transfer RNA (70 nucleotides) under Grandisonia sechellensis. Its description in RNAcentral is "tRNA-Phe". It matches the Rfam family "tRNA". From Rfam's summary of the family: Transfer RNA (tRNA) molecules are approximately 80 nucleotides in length. Their secondary structure includes four short double-helical elements and three loops (D, anti-codon, and T loops). Further hydrogen bonds mediate the characteristic L-shaped molecular structure. tRNAs have two regions of fundamental functional importance: the anti-codon, which is responsible for specific mRNA codon recognition, and the 3' end, to which the tRNAs corresponding amino acid is attached (by aminoacyl-tRNA synthetases). tRNAs cope with the degeneracy of the genetic code in two manners: having more than one tRNA (with a specific anti-codon) for a particular amino acid; and 'wobble' base-pairing, i.e. permitting non-standard base-pairing at the 3rd anti-codon position. The record is from RNAcentral. Lineage: Eukaryota; Metazoa; Chordata; Amphibia; Gymnophiona; Indotyphlidae.